GCUUAAGUUUGAUAAACAAACAACAAAACCAAACAGGUAUCAUCAAGAUCCAAGAUAAAAUUGAAAGGUUUAGACAAGUCAUUUAACACAAGUCUGGAUUAGAAUAGGAGGCAGAUUGCAAGUUUCUUGACGGCAAAAUAAAGAUCUUCUAUAGUUCCUAUAUUUCAUAAAGUAUUUAAUGCUUUUCUCCUUGAAUAUCUUUAUGUAUACAUUGUUUCAUUGAUCAAGCUACAGCUGCUAAAGCUUAGUGUUUGUAACAUUUAAGAGAAAGGAAAUGUGGCAAAUGGGAAUCACUCAACACAACCAUGUAGGUCCAUAUUUUCCUCCUCCUUCUUCGUCUCUCCCUCUCUCUCUGACUUUACACCUCUGUGAUGCUACCUAGUUUCACCAAGAUGGAGCAUUUUUAUUGGUGAUCACUGUACUUCGACUUAAGUGAGCCAAAACCCUCACAGAGGGCUGAGUGUCUUAGAAGGAGCAAAGCAAGUCUCAACAAACUCUGCCUUCCUCACCUUCCAGAAGAGACCAGUUCAUACUGAGGACCAAACCUUUUAAAGUGAUUGUCUACACUAAUCAAAACCUUCACGCCAUGAAGAUUGUCACUUGGUUGUAAAACCAUUUUCAACAGAAGAGCAAGUCUGGAAAGAAUUUAAGCCCCGAGUGGCUCUUGCUGCCUCUGCUUUGUGCUGGGAAAGGAGGUGAACCCAAUUAGAGAUGAGUCUCUACAUGAGCAAAAGACGAGAAGAAUCAGAUUCCCACAAGAGGAAACGUGACAGAUGUGUAACCAGCUAAAUGCUGACCAAUCACAUUUGAAGAGGAGAAGGGCAAGUCGUGGCCAAAAUAGGCUGUCAUUGGAGCUGCACGAGAUCGGUCAAAUGAAGUCUGGCUGUCUUAGUUAACUGCAAUGUCAACUGCUGUGAUAAAGCCACCAGAGAAUUUGGUUGGCUUAACACAAUCACAGUCUAUUUAUUUUAAAUUACUAGUCCAUUGCAGGUGUUCCUGCUUGAGCAGACUUCUUCCAAGUGGUGAGUGAGAGAUCCAGGUUCCUUGCCAAAUUGGUGUUCUGCCAUCGUCAACACCUGUUUCCCAAGGUGUCCUUGUUUUCGUUGGUUGGUUUUUGGCUGUCGAUGUUUUUGUUGCCUUUGUUUCAAUUCCAUACAGCUGAAAGGGAAAAAAAGCACAUGCCCGCUUCCCCACGGGAGGUUUCCACGGUGCACACCCUUCCACUCACAUUCCUUUGGCCAGAGCUGAACCACGUUGACACAUCGAACUGUAAGACCAGCUGGAAGGUAGUCAAGCUGAGAAGAGGGAGAAAUUGGUUUGGUAUCACUUAUCAGUCUCUCUCUACUGAUAAAACCAUCUGUUGAUGCUUGUGUUAAGCAAUGAGAAUACACAUCCAUUGCUGCCAGGACUGCAAAUUGGUACAAUCACUUUGGGAAUUCACUUAGCACCAUCUUGUAAAGCGGAACAUGACCCUCCAAUUCCCCUUGCUGGUGUAAACUCUAGAGAAACUCUUGCAUAUGAGUCCAUGGGUAAGCGUGUUCUCAGCAGUAAUAUCUGCAAUCGUGAAAACCUGAAAAUAACCCAAAUGUUUACACAGACAGGAGAAUGGAUAUAUAAAGUGUGGAAUAAUCACACAAAGGCAUAUGGCACAAAAGCAAAACGAAUAAACUAAACUUACAAGCAGCGUCAUGGUAAAUCUUAGAUGUUCAGUGUUGAGACGAAAAAUAUCCAGAAGACCAGACAGUGUACUAUCAAUGAAUGCAAUUCAAAAGUAAACAGAACUGAACAAUAAUGUAUUGUUUAAGAAUACUGAGAUCUGUGCCAAAACUAUCACUACAUUCUUAUUACACACAAAAUUCAAGAAAAUAGUUAACUUGGUGGCAGGGGUUUCAUGAGGUGUGUUUGCAGGAAAGGGAGCCCAGAGAGUAAUAAUUAUUGAGGAAUGUUCUAGAUGUUUGAAGUGGGUGGUAGGUCCUUGCUUGUUUUGUAUUUUGCUUCAUACCUUUGCAUAUUCAUACCUUCAUGCCAUCGCAUAUGUUCCUUAGGAGAUCCCCAACAUUUCACAUGCAAAGUAAGUUAGUUUUAGAUGCAGUGAGUCACUUUUGGAUGAUUUCCCACCCUCUAAUAAUUCCUCACCCUUGAAAGAAUCCCUUUGACUCCAGAGUGGUUUUUCUGUGACUGUUUUGUGCCGUCAGCGUCCUUUGUAGGGCUUCUUGACCAAGAGGUGGAAAUUGGAUUCAUCCUGGAAUGAAGAAGCUCCUGGAACUCUUUCAGACUCAUGGCAGAAUGAAACACACCCUUCUCCCUUCCAUUACUCUGCUCUUGAAAAUUGUAUCUCCUUGCCUCUCUCUUGAGGAGACUCUGUUGGAAGAGGAUGCUGUCCGCAAUGACAAGUUCAAGUACCACUUAUUCAUCAAUGACUUAUAUAUAUUCAAAUAUAUUUUACGGAUAUAAAAUACCUCUGUACAUAUAUACAUUUAUGCCCGUAUUAAUAUAUAUCCAUAUUCAUAUAUAUAUAUAUAUAUAUAUAUCAGGUAUAUAUACAUCAAACUUUUCCCCUCUACUUUAGACUCCAUUUGGAAUGACCCUAUCAUAUCUUUGGUUGCAUGUCUUCAACCACUGGUUCUCAAACUUUUUGGUCUCAGGAAUCCUUCCCAUUAUUAAAAAUUACACAAAGACCCCAAAGAGCUUUUGUUUAUGGGCAUUGUAUCUAUCAGUAUUUACCAUAUUACAGAUUAAAACUGAGAAAUUAAAAACACAUUGAUGAAUUCAUUUUAAAGUUAUAAAAAUCAUAUAUUUUUUCAUGAAAAAGAAUAUUUUUUCAAAAUGGAAAAAAGAAAAUACUGAGCAGAGUGGCGUUUGACAUUUUUACCAACUGAGUUUGCGUAUCUGUUUUGGCAUCAUCUCUGGUCGACAUGCUGCUUUGUUUAAAGUGUGUGAAAAAUGAUUCAGCCUCCUACAGAUACAUCAUUGAAAGAGAAACAAGGAGCCUAUGACCAUCUUCGUGUUUCCAAAGGUCCAUGAGCAGAAGUGGGCACAGAACUCAAACAGCCCCUAGGAGGACAAGAGAUGAUAAGGUGGACCCUGACGAUGCCAUGAUUUCCAUACACCAGAUUGCUGGUCUCUCAUUCUUUUCCUUUCUGAAAGGGAGGCAUGUUUUCAGCGUUUGAAUUUUCCAGCUGCCAUUAUUCAUCAGAAUAAGGAAAAUAGACAGCUCGUCUUUGACUUUACAGACCCCUGGACUAUAAGGAACCAUGGCUUUGUAGGGAUGAGGAAACGAAGGCUUGUGCGCCAAAUCUGGCCCUCCACUUGUUUGUAUAAAUAAAGUUUUAUUGACACACAGCCACACCCAUUUAUUUGUGUUUUAUCUAUGACUGCUUUUGCACUACAGUGGGAUAGUUGAGUCCCUGCAACAGAGAACCUACGACCCAUGAAGCUGAAACUAUUUACUAUCUGGCCCUUUACAGAACAGGUUUACCAACUCCUGGUCUAGACCCAAUUCACAUAUUUUGGUAAAAAAGGUCUCCCCUCAAUUAACUCAUGUGUUCCUGUGGACAUACUCAAAUAUCUACAGAAAAAGAGCCUCCCUGGAGGACAUAAAUUGUUGCUGUGCCCAAUAAUAGAAAUAGUAAUCACAUGCAUACUUCAAUUCUGUUUAUCUACACACCUUCUAGGACUCCAAUCAAUCAACAACCAACAAAAGAAAAUUCAAACUCUGGUCGUCUGGAUAUUUGUGAUAAUUGAGUUUCCUCUGGGUGUAAGGAAACAUCCAACACUGAAUUCUUCUCUAUGGCUGGUCCUACUUUUAUUAAACUUGGACAUUUUUGACAACUUGUUCAGAAUCAUACUUUCUACUUUGCUUGGAGACAAUUGCCAUCGUCUUUCCCUAGAUCAAAACUAUGUGCAAUUAUCUUCUGAUCUGUCCCAGGAAAUGGGAGGUGCCCAGGAGGUCCCUUGAUCGAAUCACACUAACAAGAUAAGAGAGCAGAUCAAUAGCGCGAUUAAUCGCUGGAGUGCCUCUUCACCCUGAACGCUUCGCUGAGCCGAGUUGGUGAAAACAUUCCGACUGAAAUGAUACAGCCCAUUCUGACCGCCCUUUGACGUUGCAAAUGAAGUAUUGAUUAUCUAUACUCAACCUCAGUUCUGGCUUUGCUUAAAACUUUGUGUUUUGUGGGAAAGGCUGUUUGGUAUCAAGUCUUGAUUCCGUAAGCCUUAGGGUGGCAACAGCCUGGUUAAACCAGUGGCAUGCCUCGUUGAAGCACGAUGCUUGGGUUCCUGUGCUAUUUUUCGUGGGUGGCUGGAGGACGUUCUAACAUGGGGGGCCUCAUCUUUUCUUGGAUUCUUUGUUCUCCAAGACGAACCCAUUUCCUGCAGCUUUUGGUGACUGCUGAAGCCAUGUCCUUAUUAAAAGUCUUGGCUAAUGUGGUAAGCCAAAAAGGUAUCUACUUUUUCACUUGCAUUCCUUUUAUUUCCAUCCAUUUUUAAAAAGAAGAGUCCUUGUGAGAAACCCCUCAGUCUCAGCCUAGGAAAGAGUUACUCUCCCUCACACAGUCCCGGACUACAAACCUUUGUUCCAGCUACUUUACUUGGUCCCAGCUGUUUUAAAAUAGGAACACGUGUGUCCUAUUAUGUGUUGAUUGAUGGGCAGAGAAUUUCCUUAGUUGUCGGUCAUUUUGGGCCUCUCUACCACACCACAUUACACAAGCACAUGCACCACGUGCUCAUGCACACACAUGACACAGACUACACACAUACAUUCAAGCCCCACACAAAUGCUUGUGCAAGCACACAUGCCACGUGCGUACACACAUACCAUACACACACAAGACACAUUCACGUGCACAAGACAGACCACACACACACACCCCCACAUACAUACUUGUUUGUAAAUAUCAGGCACAUGCACACAUCACAAACUCGUGCACACACACACAUAACAUGCACAUAUGCAUGUGCUUACAUACACAUGAUACUCACACACCAGGACACACACAUGCCCAUAUUCACACAUCUGCACACACACCACAUAUGUGCACAUGUGCAUGUACUCCUAAACACUCCCAAAUGCACUUCUUAUAACUGAAGUGUGAAAAGCCGUUUCAUAAAUUUAAAUUUAAUUUAUACAAUUUAAUUUAUGUGAUGUAAUUUAUAUAACGUGUGAAUUUAAUUUAUACAAUGUAAGUAAAAAAUGCUUGAAGAAACAUUUAACCAUUUUCCUCCAAAAAUUCACUUUUUUUUUUUUCCUUGGGAGACAUUAGCAAAAGCUCCUUGAAUGUCCUAAACUAUGUUGGGUUGGAAGAAUUGCAAUCACUAUGUGGUUUGAAUCAAUCCCAUUUUCUUGUUUAUUGUUUCAUCUACUGGGUUGGACGGCUCAACAUGUCACGUGAAAUAUAAACUCAAAAAAAACCACAAUCAGCCUUUGUUUUUGCUUUUGUGGCUUUAAGGGGAAGCAGGAAGACUAAUGAAAUAACAGUAUCUGUAAUAAGGCAGUAAAAAAUAAAUAAAUAAAUAAACCAUUCACAGAAUCUGGCUUUGGUUUAGCUGUCAGGAAAACUCUUUUGAUUUUUGUGACAGACUAACUCCAAGACUGGGGUUCCACACACGUCCCCGUGGCUAUAUAUGUGGAACAAUUGCAGGCAACAGAUCGAGAAAGAUGCAACCCGGAAUCCAGGGAGGGCACAAAUAAUAGAGAAAAGUUUGUUUCUCAAGAUUCUCAUUUUUCAUAUCGAAAACUCUCACUUGAAAGUUUCAGAAAAGAAUUUGGCACAGGGAAAUUCAU
Equus caballus (horse) is the source of this 5779-nucleotide long non-coding RNA. The record is from Ensembl. NCBI's taxonomy places the organism in Eukaryota, Metazoa, Chordata, Mammalia, Perissodactyla, Equidae.